Molecule: long non-coding RNA, 6676 nt
Organism: Phyllostomus discolor (pale spear-nosed bat)
Lineage: Eukaryota; Metazoa; Chordata; Mammalia; Chiroptera; Phyllostomidae
Exons: 2
Source: RefSeq, a predicted model, not a curated record
ACCCUUUGGUUCCCAGGUUGGUGCUAAAUCCACGGAGCUACACCAGCCAGGGCAAUACAUUUCCUUUUACACUUAAGCAGGUUGACCUGAAUUUGUAUUUGUUCACACAACUAAAUGACUCUCAACUAACAUGGAAAGGCAGAGGCAACUGUAGUUCUUGAUGAUUCCCAUAGCUCAUUACCAAGCCACUUAGGAAAGCGCAAAGUAAAAUUAAAAAAGUUAUUAUACACAGAAACAGCAAUACAGAAAAACACAUACUUUUAAAAAACUCAGAAAUAGCCUCUCAGGUAGGUGCUAUUCCUAAGCUGGUCUAUGAAGACUUAACAAUUUUGGUUUUCAAGAUCCUUGGCAAGGCAGGAGGAAACCAGAAGUACUUAGAACAUUUUCCUUUAUCACCAGACUCCCCAUUUAAAAAAUUCCUCAGAUGAUCAGAAAGCCCCUGCAAAUAAAGCUGUAAAAUUUUAAUAGCUGCCUUUUAAACUGCAAUGGAAAUUGCUUUUCUGUAACUCUUAUCUCCCUCCCUUCCCCUCUCUAGAGUGAUGUACAUGGCUCUUAAAAGACACAUCAGCAGUGGUGUGCAGCGAUGCUCUGUCUCUCUGAGUUGAGAAUCGACUUACUGACAAUUGGAGGAAGCUGUGAUGUCCAACAGCCUGGUAAUCCUCAAACAUGGGAGGGGCCACGGCAGAGAGCAAGAGGCCAAGGGGUUGUGGAAAUGGCAGCAGAAGUGGGCAACAGAACCAGGAAUUCGUCCAGGACCCAAGAUGUCCCAGCACAGCCACCAGAGCAACAGCCCCAGUCCACCUGCCCCAUACGUUACAGUGACAGGGCCAAGAUGAUGAGAAAACCUGGGGGUAAGAGGGUAUCCCAGCCUGACUCCCAGCCUGAGUGGCUCCUCCCCUCAUCCACAGUGAUGGGUUCUGGGAGAAACACGUGACCUAAGCAGGGCUAAUCAGAGUUGGCCCUGGAAAUUUUGCUGGAAUCACUGGGGAAAAGGGAUGGGACACUUGGCAGGGGCUGUUGAGGGCUACUUUGGUCCCUGGAGGUGGGAGUGGGACACCUGAGAAUGAAGUUGAGGCUGAGAACUAGAGCCCAGACGUGGGAAGGGUGGAAUCUUGACAGGAGUACUUGAAUGCCGACUCCAGUCAUGCCAGCUCUGGGAUUUUUCAGGUCCCGGAGUCAUUAACCUCCCUUUGCAGUGUAAGCCAGUUUAAAUUAGGGAGAUUCUAUCAUAUACAACAGAAAUAACUGACUGAUAGAACUGGGAAAGACCUCAAAAAUCAAUACAGUGCUCCUUAAUGUUUGGUUGAACAUGAUCCUUCUAAGAAGCUGACAAAACAAAACUGUAUCAAGUCUCUCCUGAAAACAAAACAAAAACACACAAAAUACUGCACGUCUCAUGGAUGUCAAAACCCUUAUUAUAGGAACUGGGUGAAGAAUGCUUUGGUCUAGUCUGGCCCGUCCAUUUAGUGGAAAUUGUGGUUCAGAAUGCUCCAAUGAGUUGUCUGGGGCCAAUGAGGGCAAAGCCAGGCCUCCCUAGAGCCCCAGGAGGUUCCACCUUGAACCCCCCAUGAGUACAGACCUCAGGGAAGACUGUGGAGGGGUCGGGGAGCAGCAGGUGAAGCUUCAGGCCCCACACCCCCACUGACCCACAGCAGCCCCACCGUGUUCUGUUUUAUAGAACAGGCUUUCAGGGAAGUGUCUGACCUUGUUCCAUCACUCCACAGUCAACACUGAAAACCAGUCUCUCAUAUCAUAUUUCAAAGUACAGUUGGCCCUUGAACACAGUAAAAAAUCCGUGUAUAACUUGUGAUUCUACUACAGUCAGCCCUUUGCAUCUGUGGAUUCAACCAAUGACAUGGAUCAAAAAGUUACUUUCUAUCUGUGGUUGGGGACCCGAGGUGGGGAAACCGAGGUGGAGAGUGAGAAAUACUGUGAGGUUUUGAUCCUCACAGAAGCCUACGAAGCAGGCAUUCUCGCCAUGGCUCUGCGUGAGAUUCUUCUGCAGUGGUCAGCUGGGGUGCUGCCCUCCUGUCCCCCAGGCAGCCAGGCACCUGGGCCUUUCUGUUCCUGUGCUUCUGGCCUGACAUUUCUGAUCUUCCUUUCUAUUUCCAUCCCAACUCAUCCAGAAAGCCUCCUCCACUCAUACCUCUUCACUCCCCCCUUUUACUCAGUCCUCUACAAAGACCAAGGAAAAAGGAUGAGGCUAAUCGGACCAGUCAGAGAUCAUGACUCUUGCUGGCACCUGCUUUUCCCACGGGCAGGUUAUUAGCCCCAAAGGCUGAAACCAGGACUACCAGCUUUCCUUGUGCCCAGAGAUGGCGGCAGGCUCUCUUCUGCUUUCUGUGCUGGAACAGGACACACAGCCUGGACACUGUUCACCCAACCUCUAAAAGGGCCUGGUCACACGUACCCUCUCCUGACCAAGUGCUGAUGGGAGCAGCCAUGUCUCUCUCCUCUGCGCGGCUGGUUGUGUAAGUGGCUGAUCUAGGAAUUGAGAUGGGAGGUGAAGUAAAACCAAGCCCACCAGGGCCUUCUGCCAUAAGCUGCGUUCUCCUGCUAGACUACCGGAGCCUCACACUGAGAGAUCAGGGGCUUAACCCACCAAUGAAAUGGUUCGAUCACCCUUCACUUAGAGAAGAAUCCUGCUCUAUCUGCCUGCAUCCUGUUUCUGAAAUAGUGACCCAGGAAAAUCCUUGUUCAUUCAACUGUCUCUACCUACCUGCCAACAAGGAAAAGCUGCCAUGUGAAGAAAGAACUUUUGCCUUGGGAAAAUCUAGGCCCUCAACCACCCUACAUACAGCAGCUGCUGAGAUCAAGUCACAAUUAAUCAUGCUUUACUUUAUGACCUAUAUUCUAUUAAUAACAUGCCAGCAAUUUAGCCCUGGUUAUUUAUUUCAUUGACUGAUUCAGUCCACAAUAUGACUAAGGCAGGGUGGCUGACUAUGAGGGUCUCACAUUCUAAUCUCCUGUCCUUCUCUCCCACCCAAGAUAAGCAUCAUGGUACAGGGCUCUAAGGACUUCACUCCAAAGUGCCAGGGGACUAACUGCCAUGCCUCCAGCCCAGCCCAAGUAACUCCAUGGAGGAGUGGCUCAACAGAGAACACUGCUAAGAACCUGCUUGGGGAAAGCAAUAAGUGUGCCAUUUCAUGCACAGCAAAUUGGUUAGACAUCAGCCUGACACCACCAAAUGUGCUGAAGCUGUGGCGUUAACAGGAACUCGGUCACUGCGGGUGGGAACACACCGCAAAACAGACAUUUUGAGAAAACAGCUGGCAAUUUCUUGUGAAGAAAAAGAACGAAUAGCCUCCAUGACUUGCUUCACUGCCCCCAGUGACUGGGCUCUGGGGUUCCUUGCCCAGUUCCUAGACCCAUGUGUCUUUGCAAAUAAAUUCUCAUUCUGACUUGAAGCAUUAAGUUUUUGCUUUGAUUUUCCAUGUAACCCUCACACCAACCCUGUGCAGCAGGGUUUACCAGCAUCCCUACUUUCACCAGACAAGAACACAGGCACAGAGAGUAACCUGCCCAGGAUCACACCACAAGGAGGGGGCACAGCCAGGAGACCCAGGGGCACAGACCCAGUGGGUCUGUCUCCAGGACCACCAACAAUGCCAAACACAGCAGUUAAAAAUAGCAUGGGCUCAGCCUCGGAGCCUGUGUGAUUCCUCUUUCAGACAUCAAUUUCAGAUGGAUCAAAAACCCAAAUACCAAAAAAAAAAAAAAAAUACCAUUGUGUCUAAAACAUAACACAGGAGCAUACUUUCACGUUGGAGUAGGUAAAGGUUUCCCACUCGGGGAUUCUCAGAAACUGUUUGCUCUCCUCACAAAAGGGGUCAGACUCAUCCACAGAGUCCUGUGUCCUUUCUCCAGUCUGCCUUUUUACAGCACGGAAUGUAAAUAAAUGUGAUACCUAGGUUUGACAGGGUGUCUCUUGUCCUCAGAGCACUACUGUGACAGAACAGAAGGGCUGAACUCUCAAGGUGCCUUAGCCUCCCGGGGAAGGUGGGUGCAGCAGCCCUCUUGUAGCCACAAGGGGCCAGAGUCCCGGCAGCACUGGUGUUGACUUUGUCAAGCCACUGAGCCACAUCCUCCCUCUCCAGCUGUUACAUGGUUCACACAACCUCCGAGGUGUUGAAGUGACAUUGCCACUUGUGUAUUCUUAUUCAGUGGAACCUCAGUUUUUGAACUUAAUUUGUUCUAGAAGGGUGUUCUAGAAGUGAUUUGUUUGAAAACCAAAUCAUUUUCUGCCAUUAGAAAUACAGUAAUGUACAGGUAUCAGCAUGAAAGGGUUGUCGGGCCAACAACUAAAGUCUGAAGGUACUGUGGUCGAGUGUGUUCCCAACUGGACACCUGCUACAGCCGAGCUCCAGCAGCCUAGAGAGUUAGCAAACAGCCACUAACAUGGACUUGAAGGUGUCCCAAGAAGACUCAGCUGAGAAAUAAACUUCUGGCAAUCUUUGGGAAAGAUUUCCACCAAGCUUGGCAGAUCACAGGCAUCUAGAGAUGACUAGGAACCUGAACGAAUUCUCAGAGGACCUGAAUUGGGAACAGCCUUCUUUCUCUCCACAGACUUCUAAGAGAUCAGGGAGGCUGACUUUAAAGGCCGAGCCCACUGCACUGAAACACCCGCAUCAUGGUCUGUGGGCCCAGGCUCACUGGCUGGGGAAAUCCCGUGUAACUUGUGGAUAUUUUCCCUGUCACCAGGCAUGUGCGGGAUGUGCCAACAGUUCCUCCCCUUCCUGUGCUCCCAUAAAAGCAGCUUGUCAGUGUGGGUUCGGAUGCUGGGUGCUUUUCCACAAAGCACUUUCCAGUUCCUGACCAGUCAGAUGAAAGACAGAACAAUGGUCAAUCAACCAAAAUAGGUCAGGCUUUAUAUUUUAAUCCUCCUAUUCAUAACAUAUUGAAAGGGAAGAAUAAAAACAUUACCAACAGCAAAAACAUCUAUGGUUACUUAACCUCUCUGGGCCUCAGUUUCCUAAAACAAGGAAAAUAACAGGAAUAUUGUGAGGAUUAAGGAAAUUACUCCAUGACAAAUGUUUAGAACAGAAUCUAUUGUGUAGUGAGUGUUCAAUAAAAAUGAGCUACCAUUAUUUUUAUUGCUGGGGACUGAAGGCCCUUGAGCCAUUUCAAAAUCCACCCUCUGGUGAAUCAUCCAGAAAAAGGCACUGCUCUGAUUCUGGCCACUUAGGGUAGGAGGGAGGCUUUAAGGCCAAUGAGGAGAAGCUGGCUGCUGUGGCCCAAGGUACUGCAGGCAGGAAAUGGACUUACUGGGUACUAACUGCCCACCCAGUAGCCAUUCUUGCCUUUCUUCUAAGGAAAGACUGUAUCUCUCAACCUCCUUUGCAGCCAGAGGGGACCAACAAGAGGGGAGCAAAAGUUGCGGGACUUCAGGAAAAUUCCUUACCAGAAACACAGAGCUGGACUAUAUUUUUGUGCCCGUUCCCACACCCUGAUUCCUAUGCAGACCACGGACUCACUGGCUAGACUCCAGCAGUCACACCAGGUCACCUUAAGGACAAAAGUCUCGUGCCAGGGAUGGUGAAGUGGAAAGACAGAAGAAGCCUGCUCUUCCUGAUGACUGUGGGGCUGCCACAGUCCUGGACUACCAAUCUCUGACACCUUGCUCACGAAAGAAACCACCCUCCACUAAGUUUGCACCACUGUUAGUUCUGGUCUCUACUAUUGACAGUCAAAUGCACUUUCAAAUAAUACUGCAGUUUUACACAGCUGGUCACCAAUGGGACAGUGUUUUAUGCCAGAGAAAUCCUUCUAGUAAUCUGUGACCACUUAAAGUGACCUCAUGCUUUAGGGACCUUGCUCUCUCAAUACCAGGUAGAAAGCUAGACACGGAACUUCCCACAGAAUGGGGUUACAAUCAUUUUGCCUUAAGAGGAGGUAAAAUGAAAACUAUAUGAGAUACACUGAGUCAUUCAUUCAGCCAUCAUUAAGUGCUCCUCUCUGCUGGGGAGCGUGCGAGGUAGGGGGCUAAAUAUGGUGAACACAAGCAGAUGUGGUUUCUGCUCUCACAAAGCAUCCAGAACAGAACAGAAGGCAGGAAACAAACAUGCAAACAAACAGAAAUGUAAGUUCAAGUGGUGAGAAGUAACAUGUAGAAAACCAGGGUGAGUAUUAGCUCAGAAGUAAAGAGAAAGGAGAAGGAAGGCAUGUGAAUAGUGGGAGUAAGGAAUAUCCCAAAAUGUCUAUCAUCUGAAGAAUGGAUAAACAAAACACGGUUCAUCUGUACAAUGGAAUAUCAUUCAACCACAAAAAUAAUGAUUCAUGUAUAGCAUGGAUGAGCACUGAAAACACCAUGCUGAGCGAAAGAAACCAGUCACUGAAGAUCACAUAUUACAGGAUUCCAUUUACAUGAACUGUCCAGAAGAGGUGAAUCUAGAGACAGAAAGUAGAGCAGCGAAUGCCAGGGGCUGUGAGGAGGCAGAAUUGUGGAGAGAGAGAGAGACUGCUAAUGGUUGCAGGGUUUCUUUCUGAGUCAAUGAAAAUGCACUGGAGUCAGAAACUAGUGAUGGUUGCACAAUCCUGUAACUACAUCAAAACCCAUGAAUGGUGCACUUUAAAAGGAUGAAUUUUAUAUCAUGUGAAUUAUAUAUCAAUUAAAAGACACUCAAAGGUCUACCCAAAUUGAAUUACUGGACUGGUAAUAAAGUUUCCAAUGAAAGUU